This 240-nucleotide ribosomal RNA is filed under the name uncultured bacterium. RNAcentral's name for it is "partial 16S ribosomal RNA". It matches the Rfam family "Bacterial small subunit ribosomal RNA", at positions 524 to 763 of the family's 1533-position model. The record is from RNAcentral.
UACGUAGGGGGCAAGCGUUAUCCGGAUUUACUGGGUGUAAAGGGAGCGUAGACGGUUGCGCAAGUCUGGAGUGAAAGGCGGGGGCCCAACCCCCGGACUGCUCUGGAAACUGUGUGACUGGAGUGCAGGAGAGGUAAGUGGAAUUCCUAGUGUAGCGGUGAAAUGCGUAGAUAUUAGGAGGAACACCAGUGGCGAAGGCGGCUUACUGGACUGUAACUGACGUUGAGGCUCGAAAGCGUG